This is a long non-coding RNA of Cyprinus carpio carpio, 1002 nucleotides long. NCBI's taxonomy places the organism in Eukaryota, Metazoa, Chordata, Actinopteri, Cypriniformes, Cyprinidae. The record is from Ensembl.
AAAUAAGUGUUAUCAUGGACACACCUGCACCAACACUUUGUGUUUUCCCUACGAGGAGCAUCUGGAUGGACGAAGUGAACUCUGAUUCAAUUAACUCGUCCUGUAACAAGGGCCACAGUGAGAGGAGUCGGACACGGAGGACUACUCGGCUCUAGCCUUCCUUCGCGCCCUUAUAUUGAAAGGAGAAGCUCUGGGUAAACAAAUAUAUGAGUGAAUGCACCCUGAACAGGCAGAGCAAAGAACACAAACGGCCGACACAGCAACACUGACUCAACCAAUGGCAUGCGUUUGGGGCGGGACUAACCAUUAUCAGACCAAUGGCAGACCUGGAAGAGUGUUGGGAAACCUGUUUGAAAAUAAUCAUCUACUCUGCAAAAAAGAUACACUACCGUACAAAAGUUUGGGCUUGAGAGGCAGCAGCGAGAGACGGAGAGAUGGAGAGAGCGAGAGAGGCAUCAGAUGCCCAGUGAGAGCCUGGUACUUUAGGGAAGCCAGUUCUCCCUGCACAGCUCUGCUGCACUUCUAGCCUUCCCAGAAAGAGAGAGAGAGAGAAGAAACAUCGCUUCAGGUUAUUCAUGGAUUGACUCUUCAAAUCCCAACAUAUGCUCCUCUGUUUCCCUUCCCAAGCACCGGGAGAAAUGGACCAUUUCCUCUCUGCAGCCUCCUCUCUACCACCCUGUCCGCUGCUCGCGAUGUAAAUCAGAGAGAUGCGAGCCAAUGCAACCCAAGCGCAUGUGGGGUGUGUGUGGGCUGCCUGAGUGAAGUUAAAGACCCCAUCCAGCAGCCUGUCAGUCCAUCGUGUGUGUGUGUGCAUGUGUGUGCAUGAUAUUCUUUAAAUAACAGUUUCAACUAGAUCUGCUUCUCUUGAAAGAAACAUCGUUUGUGUAAGUUUAGUCUAUAGGUUUUGAUUCUGCAUAAAUGAUAUUUUGAUAAGUGCACAAAUGACUUCUGCAUUCAUAAUGCAGCAUAAAAUAGUACAGUACAUUGUCAUAUUUGUAAUCU